Ancylostoma ceylanicum is the source of this 46-nucleotide non-coding RNA. NCBI's taxonomy places the organism in Eukaryota, Metazoa, Nematoda, Chromadorea, Rhabditida, Ancylostomatidae. The record is from Rfam.
CCAAAGGCCCUCUUUAGGGCCACCACUCUCCUUCGAAUACCUUGAA